GACGAACGCUGGCGGCGUGCUUAACACAUGCAAGUCGAACGCUGAAGCUCAGCUUUUGUUGGGUGGAUGAGUGGCGAACGGGUGAGUAACACGUGAGUAACCUGCCCCCUUCUUUGGGAUAACGCCCGGAAACGGGUGCUCAUACUGGAUAUUCACUGGUCUUCGCAUGGGGGUUGGUGGAAAGGGUUUUUCUGGUGGGGGAUGGGCUCGCGGCCUAUCAGCUUGUUGGUGGGGUGAUGGCCUACCAAGGCUUUGACGGGUAGCCGGCCUGAGAGGGUGACUGGUAACAGUGGGAAGGAGAGACGGCCCAGACUCCGACGGGAGGCAGCAGUGGGGAAUAUUGCACAAGGGGCGCAAGCCUGAUGCAGCGACGCCGCGUGAGGGAUGGAGGCCUUCGUGUUGUGAACCUCUUUCGCUCAUGGUCAAGCCGCAACAAUGGUUGUGGUGAGGGUAGUGGGUAAAGAAGCGCCGGCUAACUACGUG
RNAcentral lists this ribosomal RNA (483 nucleotides) under uncultured bacterium. Its description in RNAcentral is "partial 16S ribosomal RNA". It matches the Rfam family "Bacterial small subunit ribosomal RNA", at positions 28 to 507 of the family's 1533-position model. The record is from RNAcentral.